GACGAACGCUGGCGGCGUGCUUAACACAUGCAAGUCGAACGGUGAAGCGCCUUCCUUUUUGGUGGGUGUGGAUGAGUGGCGAACGGGUGAGUAACACGUGAGUAACCUGCCCCCUUCUUCUGGAUAACCGCAUGAAAGUGUGGCUAAUACGGGAUAUUCUGGGUCUGUCGCAUGAUGGGUCUGGGAAAGAUAUUGUUUCGGUGGGGGAUGGGCUCGCGGCCUAUCAGCUUGUUGGUGGGGUGAUGGCCUACCAAGGCGGUGACGGGUAGCCGGCCUGAGAGGGUGGACGGUCACACUGGGACUGAGACACGGACAAGACUCCUACGGGAGGCAGCAGUGGGGAAUAUUGCACAAGGGGAGCAAGCCUGAUGCAGCGACGCCGCGUGAGGGAUGGAGGCCUUCGGGUUGUGAACCUCUUUCGCCAGUGAAGCAGGCCUGCCUCGUUUGUGGGUGGGUUGACGGUAGCUGGAUAAGAAGCGCCGGCUAACUACGUG
This 494-nucleotide ribosomal RNA is filed under the name uncultured bacterium. Its description in RNAcentral is "partial 16S ribosomal RNA". It matches the Rfam family "Bacterial small subunit ribosomal RNA", at positions 28 to 507 of the family's 1533-position model. The record is from RNAcentral.